UAGGGAAUCUUCGGCAAUGGACGAAAGUCUGACCGAGCAACGCCGCGUUAGUGAAGAAGGUUUUCGGUUCGUAAAACUCUGUUGUUAGCGAAGAACAAGGACGUUAGUAACUGAACGUCCCCUGACGGUAUCUAACCAGAAAGCCACGGCUAACUACGUGCCAGCAGCCGCGGUAAUACGUAGGUGGCAAGCGUUGUCCGGAUUUAUUGGGCGUAAAGCGAGCGCUGGCGGUUUCUUAAGUCUGAUGUGAAAGCCCCCGGCUCAACCUGGGAGGGUCAUUGGAAACUAGGAGACUUGAGUGCAGAGAAGGAGAGUGGAAUUCCAUGUGUAGCGGUGAAAUGCGUAGAUAUAUGGAGGAACACCAGGGGCGAAGGCGGCUCUCUGGUCUGUAUCUGACGCUGAGGCUCGAAAGCGUGGGGAGCAAACAGG
RNAcentral lists this ribosomal RNA (429 nucleotides) under Gemmatimonadota bacterium. RNAcentral's name for it is "Gemmatimonadetes bacterium partial 16S ribosomal RNA". It matches the Rfam family "Bacterial small subunit ribosomal RNA", at positions 355 to 776 of the family's 1533-position model. The record is from RNAcentral. Lineage: Bacteria; Pseudomonadati; Gemmatimonadota.